This 21-nucleotide non-coding RNA is filed under the name Rattus norvegicus (Norway rat). Lineage: Eukaryota; Metazoa; Chordata; Mammalia; Rodentia; Muridae. The record is from RNAcentral.
UGAUAGCGAAAGCACAGUGGC